AAUGAACGCUGGCGGCGCGCCUAAUACAUGCAAGUCGAGCGAGAAGACGUAGCAAUACGUUUGUAAAGCGGCGAACGGGUGAGGAAUACAUGGGUAACCUACCCUCGAGUGGGGAAUAACUAGCCGAAAGGUUAGCUAAUACCGCGUACGCUCCUUGGACUUCGGUUCAGGGAGGAAAGCGAUACCGUGGGUAUCGCGCUCUUGGUUGGGCUCAUGUCCUAUCAGCUUGUUGGGAGGUAACGGCUCACCAAGGCUUCGACGGGUAGCUGGUCUGAGAGGACGAUCAGCCACACUGGCACUGCGGCACGGGCCAGACUCCUACGGGAGGCAGCAGUAAGGAAUAUUGCGCAAUGGGGCGAAAAGCCUGACGCAGCGACGCCGCGUGGGGGAUGAAAGUCUUCGGAUUGUAAACCCCUUUCGGGAGGGAAGAUGGAACGAGCAAUCGUUCGGACGGUACCUCCAGAAGCAGCCACGGCUAACUUCGUGCCAGCAGCCGCGGU
RNAcentral lists this ribosomal RNA (500 nucleotides) under uncultured bacterium. RNAcentral describes it as "bacterial SSU rRNA". It matches the Rfam family "Bacterial small subunit ribosomal RNA", at positions 29 to 521 of the family's 1533-position model. The record is from RNAcentral.